This 253-nucleotide ribosomal RNA is filed under the name uncultured bacterium. Its description in RNAcentral is "partial 16S ribosomal RNA". It matches the Rfam family "Bacterial small subunit ribosomal RNA", at positions 524 to 776 of the family's 1533-position model. The record is from RNAcentral.
UACGAAGGGGGCUAGCGUUGCUCGGAAUCACUGGGCGUAAAGGGUGCGUAGGCGGACCUGCAAGUCGGGGGUGAAAGCCCGAGGCUCAACCUCGGAACUGCCUUCGAUACUGCGGGUCUCGAGUCCGGGAGAGGUGAGUGGAAUUCCUAGUGUAGAGGUGAAAUUCGUAGAUAUUAGGAAGAACACCAGUGGCGAAGGCGGCUCACUGGCCCGGUACUGACGCUGAGGCGCGAAAGCGCGGGGAGCAAACAGG